GGCAGUGUGACAUAGUGGUAAAGAGCAGGGCUUGUAACCGAGAGGUUGCUGGUUCGAUUCCCCGCCGGGGUACUGCUG
RNAcentral lists this transfer RNA (78 nucleotides) under Megalops atlanticus (tarpon). RNAcentral describes it as "tRNA-OTHER". The record is from RNAcentral. Lineage: Eukaryota; Metazoa; Chordata; Actinopteri; Elopiformes; Megalopidae.